Long non-coding RNA from Lepidothrix coronata (blue-crowned manakin), 467 nucleotides. RefSeq lists it as uncharacterized. The transcript is spliced from 2 exons. The record is from RefSeq and is a predicted model, not a curated record. NCBI's taxonomy places the organism in Eukaryota, Metazoa, Chordata, Aves, Passeriformes, Pipridae.
CAGAGGCAUUAUAUGAGACGUGUCCCUGGGAGUGUUACGUCUUCGCGCUCAUCAUCUUCAUCACCAUGACGAACCAGAUCCACAAGUGGUCCCACACGUACUUUGGGCUCCCACGCUGGGUCAUAUUCCUGCAGGACUGGCACAUUAUCCUGCCCAGGAAGCACCACAGGAUCCAUCAUGUGUCUCCACACGAGACCUACUUCUGCAUCACCACUGGUUGGCUGAACUAUCCAUUAGAGAAGAUAAGAUUCUGGAGGUGUUUGGAGAACAUCAUCCAAGGACUUACUGGGGAGAAGCCAAGAGCAGAUGACAUGAAAUGGGCUCAGAAAAUCAAAUAACUUUUGCCAGCCUUCUGCAAUCCUUAACUUGUUGCCAAUGUUGUUUUUAAAAGAAAAAAAAAAAUAAAGCCAUCAGCCAAAUUCAAGACCUGCAAAGAAAUAACAGACUCUAAAGCACAAACUAAAAAG